This 607-nucleotide ribosomal RNA is filed under the name uncultured bacterium. RNAcentral's name for it is "bacterial SSU rRNA". It matches the Rfam family "Bacterial small subunit ribosomal RNA", at positions 331 to 929 of the family's 1533-position model. The record is from RNAcentral.
CCAGACUCCUACGGGAGGCAGCAGUAGGGAAUCUUCGGCAAUGGACGGAAGUCUGACCGAGCAACGCCGCGUGAGUGAAGAAGGUUUUCGGAUCGUAAAGCUCUGUUGUAAGAGAAGAGCGAGUGUGAGAGUGGAAAGUUCACACUGUGACGGUAUCUUACCAGAAAGGGACGGCUAACUACGUGCCAGCAGCCGCGGUAAUACGUAGGUCCCGAGCGUUGUCCGGAUUUAUUGGGCGUAAAGCGAGCGCAGGCGGUUAGAUAAGUCUGAAGUUAAAGGCUGUGGCUUAACCAUAGUACGCUUUGGAAACUGUUUAACUUGAGUGCAAGAGGGGAGAGUGGAGUUCCAUGUGUAGCGGUGAAAUGCGUAGAUAUAUGGAGGAACACCGGUGGCGAAAGCGGCUCUCUGGCUUGUAACUGACGCUGAGGCUCGAAAGCGUGGGGAGCAAACAGGAUUAGAUACCCUGGUAGUCCACGCCGUAAACGAUGAGUGCUAGGUGUUAGACCCUUUCCGGGGUUUAGUGCCGCAGCUAACGCAUUAAGCACUCCGCCUGGGGAGUACGACCGCAAGGUUGAAACUCAAAGGAAUUGACGGGGGCCCGCACAAG